ACCCAGGCACCCCUCCGCCAAUGUAAUCUUAAUUGUAAAUCAUAGUUAAUAAAUUCUAGUGUUCUGAACACAUCUCCGCAGGAUCUAUGCAGCAUGACCUUGGAUUUGUUCUUGACUUCUCUCCCUUUCACAUCAUUUUCAAUUGACCAACAAAUCCAACCCGCUCUCCUUUCAAAAUACAUCCUCAACCCGACCUCUCCUCCCACCUCCGCAGUCCCACCCUGGACCUGGGGCCCUCAUCUCUCCCCGGGAUUGUGUGGAACCCCCUCACCGGCCCUCUGUCUCCAUCUCGCCCACUACAGGCCACAUGGCACAUGGCAGCCACAUGGACCCCUUCAAACCUUCUCUGGACCACAUCCCUCCCCAGUGGCUCCAGCCACCCCUGAGGCAAACCCGAGCUCCUCACCAUGGCCCACAGGGCCCUGCUCUUGGUCCAGAAUCUUCCUAACUUUCUGACUUUAUCCCUGGCCUCGCUUCUCACACUCACUCCUCUCAAGAGCACCUGCUCCCUUGCGCACAUUCACACGCCCUCAGGUGCCCUCACUGGGACGUCCCCCAGAUGUCCCUGUUCCCUGUGUCUUAGCUCAGCUGUGACUUCACAGAGUGGCUUUCUCUGAUUGCCUGGGAUGUCCCCCUCGCUCAUUCACUCUCCUUCUAUCCCUCAUGCCAAUUACAUUCCCGCUUGGCCACGCCGGUCCUCCGCCCUUCUCCACUUGCUCUGUGCCCCGGGACGCCGACCUCACGCAGGCUCCCUGUCCUCAGCUCCCCCUGGAUUCUGCCCGGUGAGCACUGGCCGGAAGUUGAGGACAGGAUCAGAGAGAGCUGGGACGUGGAUGUCUCGCCUCCUCCGUGCUGGGCUGUGGCAAUCCUCAACAUCCACAGCUCCUCGAUGUCCAGCCACGUGGCACAGAGGCCCGUGUGGUGAAGGAGUGAAGCCUCUGCCGACAGCCACGUGAGUGAGUCUUCUCCAACUCCUGCCAGCCUUUGAAGACUGCAGCCCCAGGGCACGACUUCCCCGCAGCCUCCUGGAGAUCCUGAGCCAGAAACCCCAGCUAGCUGCUCCCAGAAUCCUGACCCUCAAAAACCGUGCGAGGUGGCAGAUCCCUUGUGCCAAACCCGCCGAGCCUGUGAUCAAGCACGUACCGCCUCCUGCAACAAUCUGGAAACGUCUAGCCCACCUCCCCGCUGAGCCUGGCAAGACAAGAUUCCAUCUUCUGUCCCAGCCUCGGCCCCAGGCCUGACCCAGGAGGGGGGCGGGGCUUUUCAGAGCUUGAUCCCAAGGUCACCUUGAGCUUUGCCCUUCCCCAGUCCCAACGCUGUUGCCCGUUGGCUUUCCUGCAGCUUUGAAUACAAGGAGGCCAGAGACCCGGGGGAACAAAACAGACAUUCGCAUGAGUCGGAGUCUCUGGGGGUCUGGGAUGCAAUACAGUCCACCCCACGGCGGCGUUCUUCGUAUAGAACUUUGUCUUCACUUUGAAGUGAACAAACUUCUUGCUUUACCUGAGUUCUGCAGACUAAGAGGGUGUGUGAUGCCAGGAGAGCCUGGCAUCACGUGUAACCAGGGGCCGCAGUAAGGAGGGAAAGGCCCCCUUCUUCCACGUUUGUUGCUGAGAAGGAAGUGGCUAAGCACCAUUACUUCCACCAUCCCUCACUGCCUGCCCCUCCCAUCCCACCAAACGUAAACCCUCGGGCAAUGACUUUUGAUAAAAACAUAGGGAUCAUCGUCGUUUCCGUGUUGUUGUUGUUUGUUUGUUUUUUUGUUCAAACAAGUAUGGUUGGGUAGAAUUUUUAGUAGGAGAAGAGAACACGGAGAUUCGGCGAGCAAAGGGGUGCAGA
Molecule: long non-coding RNA, 1836 nt
Organism: Felis catus (domestic cat)
Lineage: Eukaryota; Metazoa; Chordata; Mammalia; Carnivora; Felidae
Exons: 3
Source: RefSeq, a predicted model, not a curated record